UAACUUUAACCUUAAUCAUAUAUGAUAAUAAUCUAAUUUUUUUAUAUGAUGAUCGACGAGAUUCUUGCAGACACUGAUGAAGAUGACUACGAGGGAUAAAUAACAUUUGGAUUGGGAACAGAUGAGUGAAUAAAAUAUUCAAGUUUAAUUCUAUAAUCAGAAAAUUGUACUAAUUUUGAGUUAUAAUUCUUUAUUUGCAGUUCCAUAUACGGAAGAACAACAUUGUUUGUUAUUCAAAUUAGGAUUAAGUAUUAUCAAUUGAUGUUAGAGUUUUAAGUAUUUAUUUAUAUUUUUUAUAUUUUAUUGUCAUUUUUUUUAAUCAUAUGUUUACUUAUUAAAAAAGAAUUGUUGUUCGUAUUAUUUUUUAUUGGAUUUAAAUUGUAACACCCUUAAUUUACCCCUUUAUUUUAUUUUCGAAAAAGUUAAUUUCAUUUAUUUAAUAAGGAUUUUACACUUACUCCAGUUAACUAAUUCCUCAAAUGAUUAAAAAUCAUGCAGCGGAAAAUACAAAAAUAAUAUAAGUUUCAAAGUCCGAAUUGAAAAUACUGAAUCAAGUGACAUAGCUCAAUUGUUAUAAAAAUUUAACAACAUAAUUAAAUAAAAGUUUCUCCCAACAACAUCCUAACAGAGCGACUCUAAAUAAAUAGCAAAGCAAUAGCUAUCCGAACACACCAUCUAUGAUUCGUCUCCUACCU
RNAcentral lists this long non-coding RNA (695 nucleotides) under Trifolium pratense (red clover). RNAcentral's name for it is "long non-coding RNA (TPRA_LNC014332)". The record is from RNAcentral. Lineage: Eukaryota; Viridiplantae; Streptophyta; Magnoliopsida; Fabales; Fabaceae.